GUCAUUCUGCAUGCAUACCUCCUCUCAGACACUUAUCUCUUGGCUCUCUGAUGCUUGAAGCAUAUAACAGAAGACAGAAUACACCCCUUAGUCUCCAGAAACCUGCCUGGGAACCUGGUCUACCACUCCUUUGCCCUAUCUCAGAUCAAGGGCUAUAUUAUCUCCUCAUAUCAAGUCAAGGUGAUGCUACUGAAGGCUUUGACAGCUAUUUCCAGGAUUAAAUAGUGGCAUUAAACAGUGACACAGCUGUGGAAAUCCGAGGACUUUGUUUAAAACAGCCAGCAUCCCACAAAGACGGCAUCCUAUCUUCUACAAGAACGAUCUCAAUGGCCUGAAGGAUCAAGAGCACAACUCCUGCGGGGAUGAACCCCUCAGCAGCCCAGACUUCGCCCCAGCCCUCCCUCUCAGUACUUCUUCCACUCACUGGCCUCCAGUGCUACAACUAGACUCAUGGCUCCAGGAUCUUGCAAUCCACCUCAGGCUUAUUCUGUUCUGAUUGUGGGUCUGUUGUCAUUUCUGCAGGAAGCCCGGCCUGGAGACCCAGAGCCUCUGUGUUUCAUUAAUCUCCAUGUGCCCAGGAUCUGUUUCAGCACCCUUGAUUCACACCAAAUCCUCGUUCUAGUUCAGUCUAAUUUCUAGAGUGAGACCCCAACACGGAGUAACUCUGAUUUUUGUAGACACACAGAUGCCAGAGGACCACCCCUCCUCCAGCAGCUUCCUCCAGAGUCCAUAGAUAUCUACGAGGACCAAGAGGCUCACAAUCAUUACACACGUAAUUAUUCUCAGGCUGCAUGUAGCCUGAAAAGUUCUCUUCUACUUUCCAUAUGUUCUUUUCUCUUGAUCCAUCCCCCUCUCCUUAUUUUUUGCUACAAAAGUCCCUUGACAGUGUCCCACAUUACAAAUACACACUUGCCCCAGGCUCUGACUGAA
This 930-nucleotide long non-coding RNA is filed under the name Mus musculus (house mouse). RNAcentral describes it as "predicted gene, 56559". Lineage: Eukaryota; Metazoa; Chordata; Mammalia; Rodentia; Muridae. The record is from RNAcentral.